UGGCGGCAGGCCUAACACAUGCGAGUCGAGCGGUAACAUUUCUAGCUUGCUAGAAGAUGACGAGCGGCGGACGGGUGAGUAACGCGUAGAAAUCUACCUAGUAGUGGGGAUAGCCCAGAGAAAUUUGGAUUAAUACCGCAUACGCCCUACGGGGAAAGCGGGGGAUCUUCGGACCUCGUGCUAUUAGAUGAGUCUGCGUCGGAUUAGCUUGUUGGUGAGGUAAUGGCUCACCAAGGCGACGAUCCGUAGCUGGUCUGAGAGGAUGACCAGCCACACUGGAACUGAGACACGGUCCAGACUCCUACGGGAGGCAGCAGUGGGGAAUAUUGCACAAUGGGCGCAAGCCUGAUGCAGCCAUGCCGCGUGUGUGAAGAAGGCCUUAGGGUUGUAAAGCACUUUCAGCAGUGAGGAAAGGGGUGUCGUUAAUAGCGCCAUCCUGUGACGUUAACUGCAGAAGAAGGACCGGCUAACUCCGUG
RNAcentral lists this ribosomal RNA (477 nucleotides) under uncultured bacterium. RNAcentral describes it as "bacterial SSU rRNA". It matches the Rfam family "Bacterial small subunit ribosomal RNA", at positions 37 to 507 of the family's 1533-position model. The record is from RNAcentral.